This 468-nucleotide ribosomal RNA is filed under the name uncultured bacterium. RNAcentral describes it as "partial 16S ribosomal RNA". It matches the Rfam family "Bacterial small subunit ribosomal RNA", at positions 28 to 507 of the family's 1533-position model. The record is from RNAcentral.
GACGAACGCUGGCGGCGUGCUUAACACAUGCGAGUCGAACGGAAAGAGCCUGCUUUCGCUUGGCGCUCGCGUCGCAAACGUGAGAGUAGCCCGUGAGUAACCCUUCCUUUACGCGAUGAUAUCCUGAAAAAACCGUGGCUACUACCUGAUAAGAGCUGCUGCUCCAUGGUGUGGGUUGGACAUUAUCGGCGGUUGUGGAUGGACUCGCGGCUGACCAGCUUGUGGGUGGGAUACUGGCACACACAGCCUUUGGCGGAUAGCCGGCAUGAGAGGGUCACCAGCCACAUUGGUACUGAGAUACGGCCCAGACUCCUACGGGAGGCAACAGUGGAGAAUAUAACACAAUGAGCCGAAGCCUGAUACGGCAAUGCCGCGUGCGGGAUGACGGCCGUCGGGUUGUAAAGCGCUUUCGCCUGUGACGAAGCGUGAGUGACGGUAAUGGGUAAAGAAGCACCGGCUAACUACGUG